UCGAGAGGGGUCUGGCUGCAGACAUCCACCCACACGCUCCAAACAUCCACCCACAGGCACUUCCGCUGCAGACAGAAACAUCCACCCACACGCCGGAAAUUGCGUGCUGGUGGAUGUCUGGAGCGCGAUUUGCACAUUAUUCAACAGCGCCCCCUCGGGUCACACUUUUCGGUGGGUCGCAGAAUUCGGUGUAACAACGGGACUCACUGCUCGAAGAUGUGACGUUCGGCUCAGCUGCACUUGGAGGUUAUGGGGCCACUUUACAACAUUGUGGCUGGAGUUGCCUGGCUGCGUCAGAAUGCAGGUUUGCUCAAGGGGAAGGUGGUCGAGCCUGCAUUUCCGAAUAUGAACGCAAAAGAACAGCAGGAGCUCCUGGAAAGGAUACGUUCUUCAAGUGAUGAAGAAGAAAAGUACCCCCUGCUCUUCACAUUUGACUUUCAGGAAGACAUGGAGGUCUUCCUUAACAUGGCAGCUGAGGAGGAUCUUCGGGUCAACGCCAUGUUUCUGGGUCACUGGGUGGACAGCCAGUGACAUUGCUGUGUGUGUGUGUGUGUGUGUGUGUGUGUGUGUGUGUGUGUGUGUGUGUGUGUGUGUGUGUGUGUGUGUGUGUUGAGGUUCUGAGUUCAGUUAUCUGUUGAGUGUUCUUAAUAAAGUGUUAUAACGUUUACAAUGUAUUGAUUUUU
Gadus morhua (Atlantic cod) is the source of this 683-nucleotide long non-coding RNA. NCBI's taxonomy places the organism in Eukaryota, Metazoa, Chordata, Actinopteri, Gadiformes, Gadidae. The record is from Ensembl.